RNAcentral lists this ribosomal RNA (254 nucleotides) under uncultured bacterium. RNAcentral's name for it is "partial 16S ribosomal RNA". It matches the Rfam family "Bacterial small subunit ribosomal RNA", at positions 82 to 334 of the family's 1533-position model. The record is from RNAcentral.
CGUGGGUGGAUGAGUGGCGAACGGGUGAGUAACACGUGAGUAACCUGCCCCUUCUUUGGGAUAACGCCCGGAAACGGGUGCUAAUACUGGAUAUUCACUUGCCUUCGCAUGGGGGUUGGUGGAAAGGGUUUUUUCUGGUGGGGGAUGGGCUCGCGGCCUAUCAGCUUGUUGGUGGGGUGAUGGCCUACCAAGGCUUUGACGGGUAGCCGGCCUGAGAGGGUGACCGGUCACAUUGGGACUGAGAUACGGCCCAG